RNAcentral lists this ribosomal RNA (301 nucleotides) under uncultured bacterium. Its description in RNAcentral is "partial 16S ribosomal RNA". It matches the Rfam family "Bacterial small subunit ribosomal RNA", at positions 509 to 807 of the family's 1533-position model. The record is from RNAcentral.
CAGUAGCCACGGUAAUACGUAGGGAGCAAGCGUUGUUCGGAUUUACUGGGCGUAAAGGGCGCGUAGGCGGCGCGGUAAGUCACUUGUGAAAUCUCUGAGCUUAACUCAGAACGGCCAAGUGAUACUGCUGUGCUAGAGUGCGGAAGAGGCAACCGAAAUUCUUGGUGUAGCGGUGAAAUGCGUAGAUAUCAAGAGGAACACCUGAGGCGAAGGCGGGUUGCUGGGCCGACACUGACGCUGAUGCGCGAAAGCCAGGGGAGCAAACGGGAUUAGAUACCCGUGUAGUCCCUGUCUCUUAUAC